GUGAACGCUGGCGGUAGGCCUAACACAUGCAAGUCGAACGGCAGCACAGUAAGAGCUUGCUCUUACGGGUGGCGAGUGGCGGACGGGUGAGGAAUACAUCGGAAUCUACUUUUUCGUGGGGGAUAACGUAGGGAAACUUACGCUAAUACCGCAUACGACCUACGGGUGAAAGCAGGGGAUCUUCUGACCUUGCGCGAUUGAAUGAGCCGAUGUCGGAUUAGCUAGUUGGCGGGGUAAAGGCCCACCAAGGCGACGAUCCGUAGCUGGUCUGAGAGGAUGAUCAGCCACACUGGAACUGAGAAACGGUCCAGACUCCUACGGGAGGCAGCAGUGGGGAAUAUUGGACAAUGGGCGCAAGCCUGAUCCAGCCAUACCGCGUGGGUGAAGAAGGCCUUCGGGUUGUAAAGCCCUUUUGUUGGGAAAGAAAAGCAGCAGGUUAAUACCCCGCUGUUCUGACGGUACCCAAAGAAUAAGCACCGGCUAACUUCGUG
RNAcentral lists this ribosomal RNA (491 nucleotides) under uncultured bacterium. Its description in RNAcentral is "partial 16S ribosomal RNA". It matches the Rfam family "Bacterial small subunit ribosomal RNA", at positions 29 to 507 of the family's 1533-position model. The record is from RNAcentral.